UACGGAGGGUGCGAGCGUUGUCCGGAAUCACUGGGCGUAAAGGGUGCGUAGGCGGACUUCUAAGUGUCGCGUGAAAGCCCACGGCUUAACCGUGGAACCGCGCGGCAAACUGGGAGUCUUGAGGAACGUAUAGGCGGGUGGAACGAUAGGUGGAGCGGUGGAAUGCGUAGAUAUCGGAAGGAACAUCAGUGGCGAAAGCGACUUCCUGGACCAAUACUGACGCUCAUGUGCGAAAGCGUGGGGAGCAAACAGG
RNAcentral lists this ribosomal RNA (253 nucleotides) under uncultured bacterium. RNAcentral describes it as "partial 16S ribosomal RNA". It matches the Rfam family "Bacterial small subunit ribosomal RNA", at positions 524 to 776 of the family's 1533-position model. The record is from RNAcentral.